RNAcentral lists this long non-coding RNA (445 nucleotides) under Pan troglodytes (chimpanzee). RNAcentral's name for it is "long non-coding RNA NONPTRT004598". Lineage: Eukaryota; Metazoa; Chordata; Mammalia; Primates; Hominidae. The record is from RNAcentral.
GCCCAAUUAGUUAGCAGAGCUAUAAUUAGACUAAAUGCAGCACUUGUUCCCAGGUGGUGCUGAUACUGCUGAGUGGAAAAAUCACACCUCCAGACUGAGAGUAUUACAUUUUAGCCUGUGCAAGGAUAUACAGUCUCAGUACUCAGAGGAAAAAGUGCAGUCAACUUCUGGCAAGAGCUGCUAUGAACCAGCAAGACAUAGAGGACGCAGUUAGGAGUCACCCUUCCAGGUGUUGAAGCGCAAAGGGCAGAACUUAAAGUUGGAAGGAGAAUGUAUUUGGGUGGAGACAGGUGUUGGAGACCAGGACACCUGGAGUAGCUCCUGAUAAGAAGCUACUUUUUACUACUGCUUACAUUUCUUUUCUUGAAGCUUGGACAUGACUGCAACCUACAGAAAAUGAGAUGGGUGAAUUGCUUCCAGUUCCACGACUUACAAUUCCCUUGGC